AAACCUUCAAGCUUUGCUUGGUGUUGGGUGUUUGUUCCGCCUUAGUGUGUGGACUCGCCUUAAAUUCAUUGGCAGCCGGUAUGUUGGUUUCGUGCGCAGCACAUUGCGUCACGCCUAGCAGACCUCCUCCCAUUAAGCCUCUUUUUUA
This 148-nucleotide unclassified non-coding RNA is filed under the name uncultured Herpotrichia. RNAcentral describes it as "sequence contains ITS2". The record is from RNAcentral. Lineage: Eukaryota; Fungi; Ascomycota; Dothideomycetes; Pleosporales; Melanommataceae.